GGACUGUGCUGCAGAGACUGGAGCAGAACAACACUGGAGUGAAGAUUACAACACUUUUAUACCUGGGGAAACUGAGGAAGAAGGACAAGACAUUUCCUACAUGAGCCCAGGAGAGCACAAAGCAGCAGGUCCAAAUGGAGAUGAUUUUCACCUACCUGCUUCCUUGGUGUGUUGGGCUGCCUCUGAGGCAAUCUUAAUGAAGCCUUUUGUAUUCUUGGGAUGAAGAUGAUCCACAGAGAGAAGAGUUAACGUGAUCACUCCUAGGCAGGGGAAGGUGGCUGCAGAAUGAAGGCCUGAGAGAUUGGUUACAGGUUUUCCCCUUGGGACAGAUGGCAAGCCACAUUCCUCUGCCACACUCGCUUCUGCUGGGAAGAAGGGAUAAUGCAACAUGCCUCAUGGGGAACCAUCGGUGCUGAUCUCAAUGACCAGCAGUAAGUGAAGCUGAGCUUUUCUGAGUGAGAGGAGGCAACCUGCUGAUAGCUUGGAUAGUCUAAUGAUUAGCAGUGGGAUGGAGAAGACACCAACUGUUCUGUGCCAAACAGGGGCUCGGCAAUCCCAUUUCAGCCAGAAUAAGUGGAGUAAAGGCAGCCAGCACUGUCUGGAGGAAAAUGCCACACAGUGAGCCAUGCAUCUCUGCAAGCUGCACAGGCAAAGGUUUUAAGCUCUUGCUGAAAGUUCACCUCUUCUUGCUGGCUUCCUUGUGGUGUUUGUGAGGUCCCCAGGAUGAGGUGUAAAAGAGGAGCCUUUUUAAUGGAGUUACCCUGCUGUGAAGCAGGUGUAAGUGAGAGGAAAAUCAUGCCCCUUCUAAAAAGAACUGGCAAAGUUAAAAUCUUUGGAAGCAUGUUGGAGAUUGCUGCUUCAGUAGGUACUUGAGGAAUAUUCUCUGUCAACCCAGGCAGCAGGGCCUCUGACAGUAGAAGCCAAGUUUAAAUAAAAACUUCCUCACUAUUCAGAGAACAGCAAGGCUAGGGCAGGGCUAGGCUUGAAAUACAAGGGCAGCCCCUGUGGGAAUCUCUUACCUCUGAGGGGAGGACUCGGUGCGACCAAGUGACUCUGAUGAGAAACCAGGGAUCCUGAGGCUGGUUUGAGCACCAAGUGGAAUUUGAAAACAGGCAGCUCUGAACCUUCCAGCAAAGGAGAAAUUAUUUCAAAAGAAUCAGUGUCACGAGUGACUCAGACAUGGUGCUUUGAAUUGGAGCAUCCUGUGGCAUCUCAGCACCCGAAAUCUGUUGGGAGUUGAGCUGUUUCAUGCUUGAUGUGUCCACAGCAGAGCCUUUAGCUGUGAGCCCUCAGAAGUACAGAGAAAUGCAUCAGAGCCUUGCCUGGAAGUUGGUAUCCAGAGAACUGGGAAAAGUUUGUUCAGAGCAAAAUCAGUUUGUGGUUCUCUCAUUACCUGCUGGAAUUCCAACUCAGGGGGAUGAGACGCUCCUGGUAUUUCACCUUGUACCUCUAUUUUUGGAAGUCUGGCCUCAUUGCCUGCUGGGGAGAGAAGUGAUUGGAAGCUAUCUAGCUCCAGCCACUGAAGUACUAGGCUUUGUCUGUAGCAAAGGAAGAAGGCAUCCAGCUGGGCCACAGGAAGUGUUCCACAAGCCCUGUGGAUGCAUUAUGAAAGCUGGAAUGGUUACACUGAGACCUCAGAUAGGACUUGUGAGGGAAGCUCACUAUACCUUGUGCAUACUGUGCCUUUUGCUGGAGAAGCCUAAUGGUCACCAGCUUCCCUGAUCUACAAUCCCCAGUGCCUCUGCCAUCAUUAAACAGGCAGUGAACAUUUAGAGACUGAUGCUAAACUCUUGUCCACCUAGUGAUCCCACUCUUGGAGACCCAGCACUGGCAGAUGUAGUCAGACCAGAGCUGUGCUGAUACAAACUGUGACAUCGAAGGCGUUUGUCCAUCAGGACAUUGUCACACUGAUUUCAGCAGUAAGGGGGUUUAACAGCACCUCUGUGGUCCUGCCCAGCAGUGUACAGGCUUUCCACCUCAGCUCCUUCCCCUGGCCCUGCAAACAGCUGGUGCCCAAGCUCUCUUGUCUUACCUCCAAACUUUGGUGUCCAUUGCUCUUCCUUCUUCUUGGCAACACAGUCCCCUCCUACCUCCACCUACUCUAGAGAGGGAACAGCAUGAAGUGACUAAAAGCAGGAGUAUGUAUGAAAAUGUGGCUUUUCUGUAAUAGCAGAUACAAAGAAGAAAAUCUACAGAGAUGAUGUGGCUGGCUCAGUUUCUUUAAGGUUUUGAGCUUUUGGCUGAUGACAGGUGUUGAGUUAAAUCACUUUGAUCAUGUUUUAUAGUCAUUAAAAAAACACCCCAAAGAUAAAAAGUGAGAGACCAUAAGCCAUUUUCAGGAUUUCCCCUUCCUUGGUGUUACUGCAACAUUUUAAUUCUCUCUCUCUGCACUUUGCACUGAUCUUUGGAUGUCAAGAGUGAGAUCCUAAGCUAAGGAUCAUGCUCUAAUUUGGCAUCACUCUUGUAUAGAAUUACAGCUCCCUUGGCACUUUUAGCAAAUGUUGAAAUCUUCUUCUAAAAGCUGCACUGGCUGUUGGGACAGCAGAGCUCUCUGCUUUGGCCUUGGCUCUCGAGCAUCAUUCACUGCACCCACCCUGCCCUAGGAGACCAUGCAAUCAAAGUGGCAUUCUUCAAAGUCAGCCUGCCCUGCAGAUGUACGCAUGCAAUUAGUAACCUCCCUGCAUUUUUAGUAUCAACCCUUCCUUCCCUUUGAAAACACCUCAAGAAUGAGUCUCUGUGAUCUUUAUCACACACAUGAGGCCCAGAGAAUGGUAGAGUCCAAAGAAAUGUGAAAAUGGCCUGUUUUUUCCUGAGUGGACCCAAUGCAGUGAAGAUCUGUGGGGCUUUGAAGAUGAGGAAUUUCUCACCAGAGGAUGUUAAGCUGCCAAAGUUUAUAUGGGUCUGAAAGAGACUGGACCCAGAGGCAGCUCCUAAGGAGGACCUGUGCUCCUCCCUGGUCCUGACACCCCUUCCUUCUGGCUGAUGGGUGGGCUGGGCUGAUGCCCACCUUGCAGACACAAAACUGCUGCUUGUACCCAUCUCCUGUGUCUCUGCCCAUCUGAGGACACGUAUGUUUCUGCAGAAGGGUGGGAUGAGCAGGCAGGUGCACGAAUGUAUAAAGUAGGAGCAUGUCAAAGUUACAGCACUUGCUUUCUGGAAGCCACAGACAGACGUUAAAGCAAAACUGUGCCUGUCUGCUUCCAUUCAUUUGAA
Molecule: long non-coding RNA, 3213 nt
Organism: Zonotrichia leucophrys gambelii
Lineage: Eukaryota; Metazoa; Chordata; Aves; Passeriformes; Passerellidae
Exons: 5
Source: RefSeq, a predicted model, not a curated record